This 460-nucleotide ribosomal RNA is filed under the name uncultured bacterium. RNAcentral describes it as "partial 16S ribosomal RNA". It matches the Rfam family "Bacterial small subunit ribosomal RNA", at positions 338 to 795 of the family's 1533-position model. The record is from RNAcentral.
CCUACGGGCGGCAGCAGUGAGGAAUAUUGGUCAAUGGGCGGAAGCCUGAACCAGCCAAGCAGCGUGCAGGAUGACGGUCCUACGGGUUGUAAACUGCUUUUAUACGGGAAUAAAGCCCCUUACGUGUAGGGCUUUGCAUGUACCGUACGAACAAGGACCGGCUAAUUUCGUGCCAGCAGACGCGGUAAUACGGAGGGUCCGGGCGUUAUCCGGAUUUAUUGGGGUUAAAGGGAGCGUAGGCCGCAUGUCAAGCGUGCUGUGAAAUGGCCGGGCUCAACCCGGGCCUUGCAGCGCAAACUGGCAUACUUGAGUCGGCGGAAGGCAAGCGGAAUUCGUCGUGUAGCAGUGAAAUGCUUAGAUAUGGCGAAGAACCCCGAUUGCGAAGGCAGCUUGCUGCAGCGGAACUGACGCUGAGGCUCGAAAGCGCGGGUAUCGAACAGGAUUAGAUACCCGAGUAGUC